AACACCCUCCCCUACCCGCCCAAACCCCUCCCCUACCCACUCAACACCCUCCCCAACCCGCACAAACCCCUCCUCGACCCGCAAAGUCUCAGAGACGAAUAGCACUGCCACUGAGAACUCAUUUGAGAUUGAAGAGAAACCGUCCCUGUUGAAAUUUAAGAACAAAAAGCCUUCAAAACUGCCUCAAAGAAGUAUGUCUCUAAUGACCCUCAACAAAGGAGAGGAUGACGGAAAGGGACACAAGAAGCCUUCCAAAAAGAACUGCAUUCAGUCCUGAGAUGAAGAGAGGAAGGACAGGAUCAGCUGGGAGAGACAGAGCCAGAGGACAUUUGAAGUAAUUGCCAGUAUCAGAUGCAGUAUUAGAUGGAGUAUAUUAAUGACAUGCCAUGGCAGGACUAUAGUGAUUACAUGUCAUGGCAGGAGUAUAGUGAUUACAUGUCAUGGCAGGAGUAUAGUGAUUACAUGUCAUGGCAGGAGUAUAGUGAUUUCAUGUCAUGGCAGGAGUAUAGUCAUGGCAUGGCAGGAGUAUAGUGAUUUCAUGUCAUGGCAGGAGUAUAGUGAUUACAUGUCAUGGCAGGAGUAUAGUGAUUACAUGUCAUGACAGGAGUAUAGUGAUUACAUGUCAUGGCAGGAGUAUAGUAAUGACAUGUUAUGGCAGGAGUAUAGUAAUCACAUGUCAUGGCAGGGGUAUAGUAAUUGCAUGUCAUGGCAGGAGUAUAGUAAUGACAUGCCAUGGCAGGAGUAUAUGAAUUGCAUGUCAUGGCAGGAGUAUAGUAAUGACAUGCCAUGGCAGGAGUAUAUGAAUUGCAUGUCAUGGCAGGAGUAUAGUAAUGACAUGUCAUGGCAGGAGUAUAGUAAUGACAUGUCAUGGCAGGAGUAUAGUAAUUACAUGCCAUGGCAGGAGUAUAAUGAUUACAUGUCAUGGCAGGGGUAUAGUAAUGACAUGCCAUGGCAGGACUAUAGUGAUUAGAUGUCAUGGCAGGAGUAUAGUGAUUGCAUAUCAUGGAAGGAGUAUAGUAAUGACAUGUCAUGGCAGGAGUGUAGUAAUGACAUCCCAUGGCAGGAGUAUAGUAAUGACAUGUCAUGGCAGGAGUAUGGUGAUUAGAUGUCAUGACAGGAGUAUAGUAAUUGCAUAUCUUGACAGGAGUAUAGUAAUUGCAUAUCAUGACAGGAGUAUAGUAAUGGCAUGGCAUGGCAGGAGUAUAGUGAUUACCUGUCAUGGCAGGAGUAUAGUAAUGACAUGUCAUGGCAGGAGUAUAGUAAUUGCAUAUCAUGGCAGGAGUAUAGUAAUGACAUGUCAUGGCAGGAGUAUAGUAAUGACAUGUCAUGGCAGGAGUAUAGUAAUUGCAUAUCAUGGCAGGAGUAUAGUAAUGACAUGUCAUGGCAGGAGUAUAGUAAUGACAUGUCAUGGCAGGAGUAUAGUGAUUACAUAUCAUGACAGUAGUAUAGUAAUUACAUGUGCUGCUCAUUCUAUGUACUACUAUAAUGUUCCUUAGUGAGACUUGGUGUAAGACUGUGUGGACCGCCGCUGCCUUAUCAGUUAGAGUAGUGAGAGUCUUCAAUGUCAGACCCACUAUUCCUUUAAUAUGAGCCUAAUGUUGUUGUUUAGCAGGAGUGAUUUGAUGCCACAUACCAGUGAGUGUCUCCUGAGUCCUGCCCGUCUCAGAUGGCAUUCACCACCUGUGUCAGGGAAAUGCCAAUACAGACUUGAUCGGUCAGUCAUUCGAUGCUUGAAAACUGAUCUUAUGUUACUGCUCACAUGUCAUAAGAAAUCAACAUGUUGUAUUGCUCUUCCCUGUAUCACUGCCAUUGAAACGGCAGCUUUUAAACCUAAAUAAAUGGAUGUCGUUAAAAACACAUCUAUCCCAGGUAUAGAUGUAUUCUGAAUGUGUCUAUCCUUCAGGUUACUAUGGAGAAGGAAAAGUGAUCAGCUCUCUUCUCUCACACAAGGUAUCACCUUACCAAGGGCACUUUGUUCAAUUGUUAGUGGACUGGCCCUUAUCUCCACUGGAGUGUGUAGUGUCUGAAUAAUGUUUUAACAGAUCAGACACCGAUCACGCACUUCUGCUGUUAACAUGCAACAAUACAUUGUCUCUAAACCUAUGUGACAUUAUAACCAUGUCACUGGUCCAUGGCUAUAUUUGUCAUCUUAAUAAAAAACGAAGCAAUAGGGACUAAGACAUAUUUUGCUUAUUUUUUAUGCAUAGCAAUUACAAAGAGCAAAGCACAUUUUCUCAUUGAAAUUAUAGUGUGAUGUCUUGUAUAUAAAAAUGCCAAAGAUGUAUGAGACCACACGUACUUCAUGUAAUUGACUGACUUCCUAUCUCUGAUGUGUGACUGUUGUUUUAUAUGAAAUCAUAAUAUUAAAAACAACUUUUGUA
Non-coding RNA from Salmo salar (Atlantic salmon), 2381 nucleotides. The record is from RefSeq and is a predicted model, not a curated record. Lineage: Eukaryota; Metazoa; Chordata; Actinopteri; Salmoniformes; Salmonidae.